ACUCCUACGGGAGGCAGCAGCUAAGAAUAUUCCGCAAUGGACGAAAAUCUGACGGAGCGACGCCGCGUGGAUGAAGAAGGCCGAAAGGUUGUAAAGUUCUUUUGUUGGGGAAGAAUAACCAUGGGAGGGAAUGCCCGUGGGAUGACAUGAACCGACGAAUAAGCCCCGGCUAACUACGUGCCAGCAGCCGCGGUAACACGUAGGGGGCGAGCGUUGUUCGGAAUUACUGGGCGUAAAGGGCAUGUAGGCGGUCUUGUAAGCUUGGCGUGAAAGACCACGGCUCAACCGUGGGAUUGCGUUGAGAACUGCGAGGCUUGAGUGACGGAGAGGGAGCUAGAAUUCCUGGUGUAGGGGUGGAAUCUGUAGAGAUCAGGAAGAAUACCAAUGGCGAAGGCAAGCUCCUGGCCGAUGACUGACGCUGAGGUGCGAAAGUGUGGGGAUCAAACAGGAUUAGAUACCCUGGUAGUC
RNAcentral lists this ribosomal RNA (468 nucleotides) under uncultured bacterium. RNAcentral describes it as "bacterial SSU rRNA". It matches the Rfam family "Bacterial small subunit ribosomal RNA", at positions 335 to 795 of the family's 1533-position model. The record is from RNAcentral.